AACGAACGCUGGCGGCAUGCCUAACACAUGCAAGUCGAACGAGACCUUCGGGUCUAGGGGCGCACGGCUGCGUAACGCGUGGGAACCUACCCUUAGGUUAGGAAUAACUCCCCGAAGGGGAUGCUAAUACCGGAUAAUGUCUUCGGACCAAAGAUGUAUCGCCUUUGGAUGGGCCCGCGUUGGAUUAGCUAGUUGGUAGGGUAAAAGCAGGCCAAGGCGACGAUGCAUGGCUGGUCGGAGAGGAUGAUCCGCUAGACUGGGGCUGAGACACGGCCCAGACUGGGAGGGGAGGGUGCAGAGGGGUAUACUGGAGAAGGGGGGCAAGCCUGACAAAGCCACGCGGGGGGAGUGAUGAAGGGCUUAGUAUUGUACAGUCCCUUUAGCCGGGACGAUAAUGACAGUACCGGGUGAAUAAGCACCGGCUAACUACGUG
Molecule: ribosomal RNA, 433 nt
Filed under: uncultured bacterium
Lineage: Bacteria
Description: partial 16S ribosomal RNA
Rfam family: Bacterial small subunit ribosomal RNA
Source: RNAcentral